UAGGAGAUUCGGACAAUGACAUCGCUAUAAUGUGAUUGCGGUAAAAGUCGAACGAGUUUUGAUAGAAGAAAAUCAACAGGUAGAACAUAUUAUAGUUUGUUAAUUUGCAGUGAAAUAAAAGUAUAGCAUAACCUAUUUUAGGUUAGUCUAAGAAAUAGAAGAAACGAGAUACAAGACAAUUAAUUUGAUCUUAACAAGCUGUGAUAGAUUUGUUAGAUCAAUAAAGGCAUAACAUUAAGCUUCCUUAUCGGUAAAGCGCGCGUUGUGAUUAAAAUUUCUUAUAGGCCGAAGACUAGCCAAUAGGAAGCGCGUGCUGUUACGUCGCUGACAUAUGAUGGCGGCUGAAGUCGAGUGGAUUCUGAUAGAAAUAUUUCAAAAGAAUAACAUGACAUAAUUGUGUGUUGUUAUUAUAGUUUUUUUAUUUGAAAUAAAAUAAAAGAUAACCUAUUAGUUCUAGUUAUGAUGAUCUUGAGGAAUAGAAGAAACAAGAUACAAGACAGUUAAUUUUUGACAAGAUGAUCAUUUCAAGAUUAAGAACAAAUCUAUACAACAGAAUAACUGUUUUCAGAAUUCGUCAAUGUAUAAGGAGUAUAGCAAAUGAUAGUAAUGACAAUAACAAGUUUGACGUUAUUGUCGUGGGAGGAGGACAUGCAGGAACCGAAGCCUGCACUGCUGCUGUUAGAAUGGGUGCUAAAACUUUAUUAGUUACGCAUAAAAAAAGUACAAUCGGAGAAAUGUCGUGUAAUCCAUCCUUCGGUGGAAUAGGAAAAGGAAACCUUAUGAGAGAAGUUGACGCUUUAGACGGAAUUUGUUGUCGCAUAUGUGACAUCUCUGGAAUCCAUUAUAAAAUAUUAAAUAGAAGUAAAGGCCCAGCUGUUUGGGGCCUUAGAGCACAGGUGGAUAGAAGUUUAUACAAACAACAUUUGCAGGCAGAACUUUUCCAAAUGCAGGGUUUAGAUAUAUGCGAAUCAUCUGUCGAAGAUCUCAUAUUAGAAGGAAGUCCACCGGAAUGUCGUGGCAUUAUUCUUCGAGAUGGAACUAGAAUAUUGAGUAAUGCAGUAGUCAUAACAACGGGUACUUUUCUCAAAGGUGAAAUUAUUAUUGGAUUAGAGAAGAGACCUGCUGGAAGAAUGGGGGAUGAACCUAGUAUUGGAUUAGCUAACACAUUGGAUCAACUUGGCUUUAAAAUGCAACGACUUAAGACUGGUACUCCGCCAAGAUUAUUAAAAUCAACAAUAGAUUUUUCUAAAUGCGAGAAAAAUUUCCCGGAUGAAGUUCCCGAACCAUUUUCGUUUAUGAGCGAUGGAGUAUGGCUUCCUCCAGAUAAACAAUUGAUUUGUUAUUUGACAUGUACAAACGACAAGGUAGCUAAAAUUAUAAAAGACAACAUGCAUUGCAAUUUGCAUGUUACUGAAGAGAAAAAAGGUCCACGGUAUUGUCCAAGUAUAGAAAGUAAAAUUCUAAAAUUCGGUAAAAGCAGUCAUUUUAUUUGGUUGGAACCAGAAGGAUUGGAUUCGCCAUUAAUAUAUCCAGGUGGUUUGUCAUGUACAUUACCUGCUGAAAAACAACAAGAGUUGGUUAAUUCUAUACGUGGAUUGGAAGAAGCUAAAGUAGAAAAGCCUGGUUAUGGCGUAGAAUAUGAUUACAUCGAUCCAAGAGAAUUAACCGUAGAAUUAGAAACAAAAAAAGUUUCGGGAUUAUUUCUUGCUGGGCAGAUCAAUGGUACAACUGGGUACGAAGAAGCAGCGGCUCAGGGUUGUGUCGCAGGCGUCAAUGCAGCUGCUAAGGUUUUGAAAAAAAUACCAUUAAUUAUAAGUAGAACAGAAGGCUACAUUGGUGUCCUAAUCGAUGAUCUUACAACACAAGGUACAGACGAACCUUACAGAAUGUUCACUAGUCGUGCUGAGUUUCGAUUGAGUUUACGUCCUGAUAAUGCUGACUUAAGACUGACAGCGAAAGGUUACGAAUCAGGUUGCGUUAGUAACGAAAGAUUCGAUAGAAUGACAACAAUGAAAACGAAAUUAGAACAAACUAUACAACAGCUCCGUUCCAUUGUCCAAUCGAAUACCAAAUGGAGAAAAGCAUUGCAUAUGAAAAUGAGUAAAAGUACUCAAAAUAAAUCUGCUUUUGAUUUAUUGGGAAUGCCAGAUCAGAAUAUAGAAUUUACAAAAAUAGCCAAUUUAUGGCCAGAACUAUUUGGACAUUUAGUAAGAGAUCCUAUCUUCGAACGAAGAUUGAAGAUAGAAGCAACCUAUGCUUCUUUCAUCCAUCAACAAGUCAAAGUAAUCGACGAAGUUAGAAGAAAUGAACAAAUGUUAAUACCCCAUGACAUUGAUUAUAAUUCGGUGAGAUUAAAUUUAUCUACGGAAGAUAAAGAAAAAUUAAUGGCAGUACGACCGCGAACGAUCGCUGCGGCUGACAAAAUUUCAGGGGUAACACCAGUAGCAAUUGUGCGACUUUUACAAUACGUUAAAUAUAAUAGGAUAUAUGAAGAUAAGCAAUAAAAAAUCAUGAGUUCCGAUGAAACCGAACAUGCAGAGAGUUUCUGACAUAGCGAACUUUGCUGAUUUAAUUAGGGAGGGUUCGAAGGUUCGGUAAUUAUAAACUUCUAGGUACGGAAUUCUCUACUGAAACGUGUCUAGGGUAAAUGUCAUUAUAAGGUACAACAAAAAAUUCAUUUUAUGUUGUAAAAAAUGAACAAA
RNAcentral lists this unclassified non-coding RNA (2702 nucleotides) under Polistes fuscatus (common paper wasp). RNAcentral describes it as "protein MTO1 homolog, mitochondrial, transcript variant X6". Lineage: Eukaryota; Metazoa; Arthropoda; Insecta; Hymenoptera; Vespidae. The record is from RNAcentral.